Molecule: ribosomal RNA, 254 nt
Filed under: uncultured prokaryote
Description: partial 16S ribosomal RNA
Rfam family: Bacterial small subunit ribosomal RNA
Source: RNAcentral
ACGUAGGGGCCUAGCGUUGUCCGGAUUUAUUGGGCGUAAAGAGCUCGUAGGCGGCUUGGUAAGUCAGGUGUGAAAUCUCCACGCUCAACGUGGAGGGGCCACCCGAAACUGCCAUGGCUUGAGUCCGGUAGGGGAGUGUGGAAUUCCCGGUGUAGCGGUGAAAUGCGCAGAUAUCGGGAGGAACACCCGUAGCGAAGGCGGCACUCUGGGCCGGUACUGACGCUGAGGAGCGAAAGCGUGGGGAGCAAACAGGA